GCAGGUAAUGUUGUCAAAAGUAUGUUCAGUCCACAUAAUGGACAAUAGUAUUGGGACUAAACCACGGCCUAUGCAAGAAAAAGUGAGCUUAAAGAAGCGGGGUAAAGUUAAAUAUAGAUGAAUUCAUCGCUAUCGAAAAGAAGUGUGUAGAGAAGGAUAUAAGGUGGGUGGAGGAAGUAGCAUUAGUUCUUCUGCGUCGGCGAAGUAUGGCGAAAGUUUACGUCUGGAACAUUCUUCUCCUUUUAACCGUAUUAGCCCUUCUGAGUACAUUGGAACAAGGAGUCGAGGCAGUUCCUCUUCGAAGGAAAUUCGGAGGAGGGAAUGGCAGUGGCGCUGGUAGGAGUCGCCAAAAAGUUUCUACCACUACUCAUAGGUGUAACACCCGGCCCUACGGCCGUAGGUGAUAUACGGACAUGGACCACAACGUUAGCAUGUACUCGGCGAGAACCUUUGUACAGCGAAAUGAAAUUGAAAAGGAAAUAAUGUUAUUGAUUGCCAAAUGAUUGCUCAAGGAAGAGGACGCCGCUGAUACGAGGAAUGGUCCUCACCGCUUGUCAGCCACUUCAAAGAAGGAAAUUCACAAUAAAAAGGCUCUUCGAAGAAGGCUCUUUGAAUUACUGCA
Dermacentor silvarum is the source of this 622-nucleotide long non-coding RNA. RefSeq lists it as uncharacterized. The transcript is spliced from 2 exons. NCBI's taxonomy places the organism in Eukaryota, Metazoa, Arthropoda, Arachnida, Ixodida, Ixodidae. The record is from RefSeq and is a predicted model, not a curated record.